UUCCGGUUGAUCCUGCCGGACCCUACUGCUAUCGGGGUGGGACUAAGACAUGCGUGUCGCCCAAGCCAACAGAGGCAUACGGCUCAGUAACACGUGGCUAACCUACCCUCGAGACAGGGACAACCCCGGGAAACUGGGGCUAAUCCCAGAUAGAUGAGAACCCCUGGAAUGGGUUUUCGUCCAAAAGGCCGCGCGCUCAAGGAUGGGGCCGCGUCCGAUCAGGCUGUUGGUGAGGCAAUGGCUCACCAAACCUAUAACCGGUACGGGCCGUGGGAGCGGGAGCCCGGAGAUGGGAACUGAGACAAGGUCCCAGGCCCUACGGGGCGCAGCAGCUACGAAAACUGCACAAUGUGGGAAACCACGAUGCGGGCAUACCGAGUGCCAACGCUUUAGGUUGGCUGUUCUCUCUCCUAAAAAGCGAGAGAAGUAAGGGCCGGGUAAGAUCGGGUGCCAGCCGCCGCGGUAAUACCCGCGGCCCGAGUGGUGCUCAUUAUUAUUGAGCUUAAAGCGUCCGUAGCCAGCCUUGUAAAUCUUUGGGUAAAUCGGGCAGCUUAACUGUUCGAAUUCCGAGGAGACUGCGAGGCUCGGGACCGGGAGAGGUUCGAGGUACUCCGGGGGUAGGGGUAAAAUCCUGUAAUCCUCAGAGGACCACCAGUGGCGAAGGCGUCGAACUAGAACGGGUCUGACGGUGAGGGACGAAGCCCUGGGGAGCAAACGGGAUUAGAUACCCCGGUAGUCCAGGGUGUAAACGCUGCUCGUUUGAUGUUAGUCGGGCUCCGAGCCCAACUAGUGUCGGAGAGAAGUUGUUAAACGAGCUGCCUGGGAAGUACGGUCGCAAGGCUGAAACUUAAAGGAAUUGGCGGGGGAGCACCACAAGGGGUGAAGCUUGCGGUUUAAUUGGAUUCAACGCCGGA
This 914-nucleotide ribosomal RNA is filed under the name uncultured archaeon. Its description in RNAcentral is "partial 16S ribosomal RNA". It matches the Rfam family "Archaeal small subunit ribosomal RNA", at positions 1 to 922 of the family's 1478-position model. The record is from RNAcentral.